GCUUGCUGCUUCGCUGACGAGUGGCGGACGGGUGAGUAAUGUCUGGGGAUCUGCCCGAUGGAGGGGGAUAACCACUGGAAACGGUGGCUAAUACCGCAUAACGUCGCAAGACCAAAGUGGGGGACCUUCGGGCCUCACACCAUCGGAUGAACCCAGAUGGGAUUAGCUAGUAGGUGGGGUAACGGCUCACCUAGGCGACGAUCCCUAGCUGGUCUGAGAGGAUGACCAGCCACACUGGAACUGAGACACGGUCCAGACUCCUACGGGAGGCAGCAGUGGGGAAUAUUGCACAAUGGGCGCAAGCCUGAUGCAGCCAUGCCGCGUGUAUGAAGAAGGCCUUCGGGUUGUAAAGUACUUUCAGCGGGGAGGAAGGGAUGGCGCUUAAUACGCGCCGUCAUUGACGUUACCCGCAGAAGAAGCACCGGCUAACUCCGUGCCAGCAGCCGCGGUAAUACGGAGGGUGCAAGCGUUAAUCGGAAUUACUGGGCGUAAAGCGCACGCAGGCGGUCUGUUAAGUCAGAUGUGAAAUCCCCGGGCUUAACCUGGGAA
RNAcentral lists this ribosomal RNA (549 nucleotides) under Pantoea sp. sed373. RNAcentral describes it as "bacterial SSU rRNA". It matches the Rfam family "Bacterial small subunit ribosomal RNA", at positions 78 to 620 of the family's 1533-position model. Lineage: Bacteria; Pseudomonadati; Pseudomonadota; Gammaproteobacteria; Enterobacterales; Erwiniaceae. The record is from RNAcentral.